CAUGCUUUAUCACAUUGCUCUUCUAUAACUACAAUUGAAUUAUUAAAAGAACUCUUUGACAUCGUGACAAACCAUCGAUCGCAUCCGAUUGGAGCGAACUUCUUCACACGCAUCAAUGAAGUCGACACAAUAACGCAAAAAUUAAAACAAAAGCACAAAAAAAAUUACUAAAUAAAUAAAAAAAAAAAAGAAAUAGUACUACGCAGCUGUGCGCAAUCUUCAAUUUCUCCUUUGAAUACAAGCUGAAUCAGAAUCUCAUCAGCUCAUCAAUCCACCGUAGGAUUUCAAUUCAAGUCAAAUCCAUUAAUCCGCCUUAUUUUUAGAAAUGUCUGAAAAUCACUAUUCGGUGAAUUCUGGAGCUGUUGAUAAUGGACCAAUUUACCCUCGGUCUUCCACUAAUCAGGAAGCGGAAUCUAUUAAGUUGUCUCAUGUUGAUAGCAAAGAAGAUAUGUUUAUGGAUGCUUCUGAUGAGAUGAAUA
This is a non-coding RNA of Durio zibethinus, 479 nucleotides long. Lineage: Eukaryota; Viridiplantae; Streptophyta; Magnoliopsida; Malvales; Malvaceae. The record is from RefSeq and is a predicted model, not a curated record.